CACACAGUGUAUUAUCAACAUAUCCAAGUGGGCCGCAGGUAGUGAUAAUUCGUCUACGACAAUACGGAAAUCCACAAAGAAAUUUUCACUGAGGAAAUUUGACUCAUCUGCAAUCAACAUUUACAAUAUAACCGAUUGAUUUAGUAAUAGUUAUUUUUCAAAUUUGAAUAUCUUAAGUUUCACAAUUUACGAUUAAAUAUUUAAUUUUUUUCCUUAAUUUUGUUAUACCGGCUAUAUUUUUAACACAUGUUAUAGCAUGGGUAUCUGGUGCUGAGACGAAUUAUUGGAAGAUUAACAAAAAUGCAUCUUGUUAUCAACCUGGUGUACUUUGUGUUUGUUGUAGAAAUAAACGUCUUGCAGGAGAAGAGCCUACUUUGAACUAUCCACUUCUUUGUGAAGACAUAGGGUUAUAAUUUUGUUAUGACGCUAAUAAAAGUUGUUUAUGUUGCAUGGGAUCACGUGAUUAAUGAAUAUAAUAUUAUUUAUUUAUUGACUUUU
Molecule: non-coding RNA, 498 nt
Organism: Cinara cedri
Lineage: Eukaryota; Metazoa; Arthropoda; Insecta; Hemiptera; Aphididae
Source: the annotation of a GenBank genome assembly